UCUACGGUGGUCCAGUGGUUGAGAUUCUGUGCUCUUAACACAGGGGCUUGGGUUCAAUCCCUGGCUGGGGAA
Molecule: transfer RNA, 72 nt
Filed under: Ovis aries (sheep)
Lineage: Eukaryota; Metazoa; Chordata; Mammalia; Artiodactyla; Bovidae
Rfam family: tRNA
About the family: Transfer RNA (tRNA) molecules are approximately 80 nucleotides in length. Their secondary structure includes four short double-helical elements and three loops (D, anti-codon, and T loops). Further hydrogen bonds mediate the characteristic L-shaped molecular structure. tRNAs have two regions of fundamental functional importance: the anti-codon, which is responsible for specific mRNA codon recognition, and the 3' end, to which the tRNAs corresponding amino acid is attached (by aminoacyl-tRNA synthetases). tRNAs cope with the degeneracy of the genetic code in two manners: having more than one tRNA (with a specific anti-codon) for a particular amino acid; and 'wobble' base-pairing, i.e. permitting non-standard base-pairing at the 3rd anti-codon position.
Source: Rfam by way of RNAcentral